AGAGAAGGGUCAUAGCUCAGUGGUGGAGCAUUUGCCCUGCAUGCAGAAGGUCCCAGGUUCAAUCCCCAACAGCUUCUCCA
This is a non-coding RNA of Podarcis lilfordi (Lilford's wall lizard), 80 nucleotides long. Lineage: Eukaryota; Metazoa; Chordata; Lepidosauria; Squamata; Lacertidae. The record is from the annotation of a GenBank genome assembly.